AUUCAAGAGGAAACAGAAAUAAAUGCAGCUGGAGAAGCAUCCCACCAUCCUGACCACAGCUGAUCUUCCCUGGACACCAUGAACCACGCUGUCCAGACCAUCUUCACUCCCACCAACACCAGCCACCCCUCAACUGCGAAAUGCUCAAGGAGGAGCACGAGGUAGCUGUGCUGAGGGUGCCCCACAACCCUGCUCCCCUGACAUCCACUGUGAUCCACAUCCACAGUGAGACCGCUGUGCCCGACCACGUCAUCUGGUCCCUGUUCAACACCCUCUUCAUGAACUGGUGCUACCUGGGCUUCAUAGCAUUCACCUACUCCAUGAAGUCUAGGGACAGGAAGAUGGUUGGCGACCUGAGCGGGGCCCAGGCCUACGCCUCCACUGCCAAGUGCCUGAACGUUUGCAUCCUCAUCCUGGACAUCCAUGUGAACACAGCACUCAUCAUCCUUUUCACCAGUAGCUCUAUGAUAAUAUUCCAAGCAAUUUCUCAAACGGUAAAGAAUCUCCAAGGCCAGCAGUAGCGCCCAGUUACUUGCCGUCCACUGCAGGCCCUACACCCUGGGCCUGAGUUCUGUAUCAGCCCUUUAUUCUCACAUACUUUUCUACAAUGGCAUUCAAUAAAGUGCACGUGUUCCUGGAAAAAAGAA
This is an RNA transcript of Mandrillus leucophaeus (drill), 647 nucleotides long. It is a transcript of the gene named interferon-induced transmembrane protein 3 pseudogene, with no coding region annotated. The transcript has a single exon. NCBI's taxonomy places the organism in Eukaryota, Metazoa, Chordata, Mammalia, Primates, Cercopithecidae. The record is from RefSeq and is a predicted model, not a curated record.